AUUGAACGCUGGCGGCAUGCUUUACACAUGCAAGUCGAACGGUAACAGGCCGCAAGGUGCUGACAAGUGGCGAACGGGUGAGUAAUGCAUCGGAACGUGCCCAGUCGUGGGGGAUAACGCAGCGAAAGCUGUGCUAAUACCGCAUACGAUCUAUGGAUGAAAGCGGGGGACCGUAAGGCCUCGCGCGAUUGGAGCGGCCGAUGUCAGAUUAGCUAGUUGGUGGGGUAAAGGCCCACCAAGGCGACGAUCUGUAGCUGGUCUGAGAGGACGACCAGCCACACGGGGACUGAGACACGGCCCAGACUCCUACGGGAGGCAGCAGUGGGGAAUUUUGGACAAUGGGCGCAAGCCUGAUCCAGCAAUGCCGCGUGCAGGAAGAAGGCCUUCGGGUUGUAAACUGCUUUUGUACGGAACGAAACGGUCUGGGUUAAUACCCUGGGCUAAUGACGGUACCGUAAGAAUAAGCACCGGCUAACUACGUGCCAGCCGCCGCCGUAA
This 498-nucleotide ribosomal RNA is filed under the name uncultured bacterium. Its description in RNAcentral is "partial 16S ribosomal RNA". It matches the Rfam family "Bacterial small subunit ribosomal RNA", at positions 30 to 523 of the family's 1533-position model. The record is from RNAcentral.